RNAcentral lists this long non-coding RNA (265 nucleotides) under Elaeis guineensis (African oil palm). RNAcentral's name for it is "long non-coding RNA (EGUI_LNC009179)". The record is from RNAcentral. Lineage: Eukaryota; Viridiplantae; Streptophyta; Magnoliopsida; Arecales; Arecaceae.
GGCCCUCUAAUCCUUAUCCCAAAAAGAUGAUUAACAUGAUGAAGGACUCUUAGCCCAUCCGCACACCAAGAACAAUUGCCGUGCGCCACAACCAUGCGCCAAACAUUAUCCACUUUAUCUCCAUGCCAUAUAGGUAUUUUAAUCCCAUUAAAAUUCUUUAAAAAUGGCGUGCAACAAGAUAAAGGAAAGAGGUUAGUUGGCGUCAAAAAUUAGGAUUAAAUCCUUCCACGAGAAGGACUCUAAUCCUCUCACACGUAACAAGUCC